GACGAACGCUGGCGGCGUGCUUAACACAUGCAAGUCGAACGGAAAGGCCCUGCUUUUGUGGGGUGCUCGAGUGGCGAACGGGUGAGUAACACGUGAGUAACCUGCCCUUGACUUUGGGAUAACUUCAGGAAACUGGGGCUAAUACCGGAUAGGAGCUCCUGCUGCAUGGUGGGGGUUGGAAAGUUUCGGCGGUUGGGAAUGGACUCGCGGCUUAUCAGCUUGUUGGUGGGGUAGUGGCUUACCAAGGCUUUGACGGGUAGCCGGCCUGAGAGGGUGACCGGCCACAUUGGGACUGAGAUACGGCCCAGACUCCUACGGGAGGUAGCAGUGGGGAAUAUUGCACAAUGGGCGGAAGCCUGAUGCAGCAACGCCGCGUGCGGGAUGACGGCCUUCGGGUUGUAAACCGCUUUCGCCUGUGACGAAGCGUGAGUGACGGUAAUGGGUAAAGAAGCACCGGCUAACUACGUG
RNAcentral lists this ribosomal RNA (468 nucleotides) under uncultured bacterium. RNAcentral's name for it is "partial 16S ribosomal RNA". It matches the Rfam family "Bacterial small subunit ribosomal RNA", at positions 28 to 507 of the family's 1533-position model. The record is from RNAcentral.